UUUCCGGUUGAUCCCGCCGGACCUCACUGCUAUCGAGGUGGGACUAAGCCAUGCUAGUCGUACGCCCAAAACCAUGUUUGGGAGUGGCACACUGCUCAGUAACACGUGGCUAACCUACCCUUGAGACAGAGACAACCCCGGGAAACUGGGACUAAUAUCUGAUAAAUGAGAAUUCCUGGAAUGGAUUCUCAUCCAAAAGACAUCAAGAUCAUGCUUCUUGGUGUUGCUCAAGGAUGGGGCCGCGGCCGAUCAGGCUGUUGGUGAGGUAACGGCUCACCAAACCUAUAACCGGUACGGGCCGCGGGAGCGGGAGCCCGGAGAUGGGAACUUAGACACGGUCCCAGGUCCUACGGGGCGCAGCAGUUGCGAAAACUCCGCAAUGCACGAAAGUGUGACGGGGCUACCCCGAGUGCCGUCCGCAGAGGAUGGCUUUUCUCUGGUUUAAGGAGCCGGAGGAAUAAGGAGAGGCAAGACUGGUGUCAGCCGCCGCGGUAAUACCAGCUCUCCGAGUGGUGUGGAUGUUUAUUGGGCCUAAAGCAUCCGUAGCUGGCCAAGUUAGUCCCCUGUUAAAUCCACUGAUUUAAUCAUUGGAGUGCGGGGGAUACUGCUCGGCUAGGGGACGGGAGAGGCCGACGGUAUUUCCGGGGUAGGGGUGAAAUCCUAUAAUCCCGGGAAGACCACCAGUGGCGAAGGCUGUCGGCUAGAACGCGCCCGACGGUGAGGGAUGAAAGCUGGGGGAGCGAACCGGAUUAGAUACCCGGGUAGUCCCAGCUGUAAACGAUGCAGGCUAGGUGUUUGGGCGGCCACGUGCCGCUCUAGUGCCGCAGGGAAGCCGUUAAGCCUGCCGCCUGGGGAGUACGGCCGCAAGGCUGAAACUUAAAGGAAUUGGCGGGGGAGCACCACAAGGGGUGAAGCUUGCGGUUUAAUUGGAGUCAACGCCGGA
RNAcentral lists this ribosomal RNA (943 nucleotides) under uncultured archaeon. RNAcentral's name for it is "bacterial SSU rRNA". It matches the Rfam family "Archaeal small subunit ribosomal RNA", at positions 1 to 922 of the family's 1478-position model. The record is from RNAcentral.